CGAUAACCUCUCCCGAUCAGAGGUGUGAUUCCGCCUCGGGAUGGGACCUGAUCCUAUUUUUUUGUUGGUGGGUCCAUGGCCUACCUUGGCAACCAUUUGUACCGGGCGUUGUAGCGUGGGCGGCCCCCCUGACACUGAGGCCCUGCCGACAUGCCUACGGCCGGCUGUUCCCCAGAAUCUUGCCGGAUGGUCCCAUUCCAGACUUGUCGACGCCGCGUGGGGUUGCACUGCCUUCGGGAUGUAACCCACUGUCUCAGGGGAGGAAGGGACCAUGAACAUGCGAACUUGGUCUAUGCUUCCAGAAAGAGCGGUCUACUUUCGUGUCACUACUACCUACAUGACAAACCCUGGAAACGUUAUUCGCAAUCCCUGGAAUUAAACGGUGCGUACGCCUGCUUGCGCGUCCCCUGUGAAAUUCCUCUGCUUAACUGACGAAUUGCGCCCGACACUGUUCGGCUUGAUGGACACAGAAGUGACCGCACCUUGCGAAUUAUCGCCUACUAGCGUUGAUAUCCCUCGGAAACGGCUAGGACUACGGGGGUUUCUGAUUCUCUUCUGACGCUGAGGCACGAAAGCUAGGGUAGCGAAGAGGAUUAGAUACCCUCGUAGUCAUAGCUGUAAACGGUGAGCAUUGGAUUGGAGGGUCCUCCAUAGCAUUCCGGUCGUAGCGAAAACACUAAGAAAUUCCACCUGGGGAGUAUGUCCUCAAGGCUGAAACUCAAAGGAAUUGACGGGGGAUCACACAAGGGAGGGAGGAUGUGGCUUAAUUGGAGGCUACUCGAAGAUCUUUAUCCCCGAUAAAUCAUGAUUAGGAAUCCCUCGGAAACAGGGGAGUGCCCCUCGGGGAGCCCUUGCACAGGGGUUGCAUGGGGGUUGUCAUCUUUUGUCUUGAGAUGUCGGGUUAAGUCCCUUAACGAGCGAAACCCUUGUCGUUAGUUGCCAGCGGGUCAUGCCGGGGAUCAAACGAGAUAUUCGUUGUUAAACCGGAGGAAGGUGGUGAUGACGUCAUGUCCUCAUGGCCUUUAGGUCCAGGGCUGCCCACCUCCUUCACUGUUGUGUCCAAAGGGAAGCAAACUCGUGAGAGUAAGCAAAUCCCAAAAAGCUCCCCCCAGUUGGACUUGCACCUUGCAACUCUCAUGCAAGAAGCCGGAACCGUUGGUUAUUGGGGGUCAGCAUACCGCGGUAAAUGUGUUCUUGAGCCAGGUAC
Molecule: ribosomal RNA, 1207 nt
Filed under: uncultured organism
Description: partial 16S ribosomal RNA
Rfam family: Bacterial small subunit ribosomal RNA
Source: RNAcentral